This 246-nucleotide long non-coding RNA is filed under the name Daucus carota (carrot). Its description in RNAcentral is "long non-coding RNA (DCAR_LNC001387)". The record is from RNAcentral. Lineage: Eukaryota; Viridiplantae; Streptophyta; Magnoliopsida; Apiales; Apiaceae.
UAAAUAGUACAACUCUUUAACACUUCUGGCGUCUUAUUAGAAUGAACAAUCUCAAGAUUCAAACUGAGGAGUUUGAUUCUUCGCAAGUUCUAUUCAUGUUUAUUAUUAUUGCUACUUCACUACUUCAGAUCAUAAAGUUGGUGUACAAUGAUGAUUCAAUGAAGUCAUAGGUGUCACAGAGUGGGCUCAGAUGAUAUAAGCUCUUGGAGAAGGCGCAAAUGGUAAAGCUCUAGCAUAGGGGAGGCG